GCGGCUGUGGCUGACUGGUUAUACGGUGUUCGCUUCAUAAGCGAAUGGUUCUGAGUUCGAUUCCCAUCUGCUCCC
This 75-nucleotide transfer RNA is filed under the name Culex quinquefasciatus (southern house mosquito). It matches the Rfam family "tRNA". Rfam says of the family: Transfer RNA (tRNA) molecules are approximately 80 nucleotides in length. Their secondary structure includes four short double-helical elements and three loops (D, anti-codon, and T loops). Further hydrogen bonds mediate the characteristic L-shaped molecular structure. tRNAs have two regions of fundamental functional importance: the anti-codon, which is responsible for specific mRNA codon recognition, and the 3' end, to which the tRNAs corresponding amino acid is attached (by aminoacyl-tRNA synthetases). tRNAs cope with the degeneracy of the genetic code in two manners: having more than one tRNA (with a specific anti-codon) for a particular amino acid; and 'wobble' base-pairing, i.e. permitting non-standard base-pairing at the 3rd anti-codon position. Lineage: Eukaryota; Metazoa; Arthropoda; Insecta; Diptera; Culicidae. The record is from Rfam by way of RNAcentral.